Molecule: unclassified non-coding RNA, 351 nt
Filed under: fungal sp.
Lineage: Eukaryota; Fungi
Description: partial internal transcribed spacer region
Source: RNAcentral
AAGUAGUAACAAGGUUUCCGGAGGUGAACCUGCGGAAGGAUCAAACGUUAAAACAACCCUGUGAACCUUCAGAGUGUUCUUGCAGGACAUCAAAACAGCAAUCCCAAGUAAAUCAGGCGCUAAAGAAUUACAGAUUUUUAUUUUGGGAAGUUCUUGUGUAAUCCCCUGUCUGAAAGCGGCAAGGCAUCAGUGUUCAGGGUGGCGCAGUCAACGAUCGCUGUAGGUCCACACGACCGGCGACCGGGGUGCAGGCGAAAGCCCCUACGUCAUCCCUAUGUACCCUCCGGGACUUGGCGAAAGCUGACUCCGUCAUAAAUCGAACAACUGUUAACAAUGGAUAUCUUGGUUCUC